Molecule: RNA transcript, 4624 nt
Organism: Homo sapiens (human)
Lineage: Eukaryota; Metazoa; Chordata; Mammalia; Primates; Hominidae
Gene name: integral membrane glycoprotein-like pseudogene
Exons: 1
Source: RefSeq, marked validated
CUGCUGGCUUAGCCUUUGGCCAAGUUGGCAGCUGGACGAGGACGCUCAGAGCCCAGCUCUCGAGAGUUCAAGUAUCCGACAGUUCCCCACUGCUCCCAGGAGCGGUUACCCGGGCACUCUGUGCCCCUCAUUCCUGUUUGGGCCAAGGCCGAGGACCUGCGAGUAGGGCUCAGUUGCCUGGAGCCCCUUCAGCCCAUCGCCCAGUUCACUUUGCUUGUGGGAUCUCCCCGUUGCUCCUGCCCCUGGACUGAGUGGCAGGCCAUCCUACAAACACCCGGACACUCGACAUCAGUGGUGUCAAGACAACUCUAAGAAGGUUUUCCGUGAUCCUGCAAGACCUGUGUUCCAUCCUGGUGAUUCUCUCUUCAAUUUCACUGCACAGGUACCACAGUAAGCCAGUGCUGUGUGCUCCGAAUUCCAGGGCAUCCCCCAGCUCAGCCACUACACUCAGCACAAGGACUCUGUGGGGCCCAGGAGCAGGUAGUCACCCCUUUGGGCUCCUCAACACCCGGCUGUCCCCAGACUUGUGUCCAGGGAAGAUAGUGUUGAGGGCCCUCAAGGAGAGCAGGGCAGGGAUGCCUGAGCAGGACAAGGACCCCAGAGUCCAAGAAAAUCCUGAUGAUCACAGAACGGUCCCCGAGGUCACCGGGGAUGCACGGUCUGCAUUUUGGCCCCUGCGGGACAAUGGAGGCCUCUCUCCCUUUGUGCCCAGGCCCGGGCCUCUGCAGACAGACCUCCAUGCCCAGAGCUCAGAAAUCAGAUAUAACCAGACAUCCCAGACAUCCUGGACGAGCUCGAGCACCAAACGAAAUGCUAUCUCCAGCUCCUACAGCUCCACGGGAGGCUUGCCGGGGCUAAAGCAGAGGAGGGGACCAGCCUCAUCCCGCUGCCAGCUGACCCUCAGUUACUCAAAGACAGUGAGUGAGGACAGGCCUCAGGCUGUCUCUUCGGGUCACACACGGUGUGAAAAGGCGGCAGAUACAGCACCAGGGCAGACACUCGCCCCCAGGGGUGGCUCCCCCAGAUCCCAGGCCUCUAGGCCCCGUAGACGCAAGAUUCCCCUGCUGCCAAGCAGGCGAGGGGAGCCUUUGAUGAUGCCACCUCCCUUAGAGCUGGGGUACCGGGUCACGGCUGAAGACCUGCACCUGGAAAAACAGGCGGCAUUCCAGCGCAUCAACAGUGCACUGCACGUUGAGGACAAGGCCAUCUCGGACUGCAGACCCUCACGGCCUUCCCACACUUUGUCCUCACUUGCAACAGGGGCUUCGGGUGGGCCUCCCGUUUCUAAAGCACCCACUAUGGAUGCACAGCAGGACAGACCCAAGUCCCAAGACUGCCUGGGCCUAGUGGCCCCCCUAGCAUCUGCUGCAGAGGUCUCCUCUACAGCUCCCGUGUCUGGGAAGAAGCAGAGACCACCAGGACCCCUGUUCUCCUCCUCAGAUCCCCUUCCUGCCACCUCUUCCCACUCCCGGGACUCAGCCCAGGUCACCUCGAUGAUUCCUGCCCCCUUCACAGCUGCAAGCAGGGAUGCCGGCAUGAGAAGAACAAGGUCGGCCCCUGCAGCUGCCGCAGCAGCCCCUCCCCCCUCCACAUUGAACCCCACGUCGGGGUCACUACUCAAUGCAGUGGAUGGAGGCCCCUCACAUUUCUUGGCCUCAGCCACAGCUGCAGCACGUGCCCAGAGGUCAGAAGUGAGAUACAACCAGAGAUCCCAGAUCUCCCGGACCAGAUCCUGCCUCAAACGAAAUGCCAGCUCCAGCUCCCACAGCUCUACGGAAGGCCUCCCGGAACUAAAGCGGAGGAGGGGGCCAGCCUCAUCCCACUGCCAGCUGGCCCACAGUUCCUCAAAGACAGUGAGUGAGGACGGACCUCAGGCUGUCUCUUCGGGUCACACCCGCUGUGAAAAGAGGGCAGAUACAGCACCAGGGCAGACACUCGCCCCCAGGGGUGGCUCCCCCAGAUCCCAGGCCUCUAGGCCCCACAUCAACAGUGCACUGCACGUUGAGGACAAGGCCAUCUCGGACUGCCGACCCUCGCGGCCUUCCCACACUUUGUCCUCACUUGCAACAGGGGCUUCGCGUGGGCCUCCCGUUUCUAAAGCACCCACUAUGGAUGCACAGCAGGACAGACCCAAGUCCCAAGACUGCCUGGGCCUACUGGCCCCCCUAGCAUCUGCUGCAGAGCUCCCCUCUACAGCUCCCGUGUCUGGGAAGAAACACAGACCACCAGGACCCCUGUUCUCCUCCUCAGAUCCCCUUCCUGCCACCUCUUCCCACUCCCGGGACUCAGCCCAGGUCACCUCGAUGAUUCCUGCCCCCUUCACAGCUGCAAGCAGGGAUGCCGGCAUGAGAAGAACAAGGUCGGCUCCUGCAGCUGCCGCAGCAGCCCCUCCCCCCUCCACAUUGAACCCCACGUCGGGGUCACUACUCAAUGCAGUGGAUGGAGGCCCCUCACAUUUCUUGGCCUCAGCCACAGCUGCAGCACGUGCCCGGAGGUCACAAGUGAGAUAUAACCAGAGAUCCCAGACCUCCCGAACCAGAUACUGCCUCAAACGAAAUGCCAGCUCCAGCUCCCACAGCUCUACGGAAGGCCUCCAGGAACUAAAGCGGAGGAGGGGGCCAGCCUCAUCACACUGCCAGCUGGCCCUCAGUUCCUCAAACACAGUGAGUGAGGACGGACCUCAGGCUGUCUCUUCGCGUCACACCCGCUGUGAAAAGGCAGAUACAGCACCAGGGCAGACACUCGCCCCCAGGGGUGGCUCCCCCAGAUCCCAGGCCUCUAGGCCCCGCAUCAACAGUGCACUGCACGUUGAGGACAAGGCCACCUCGGACUGCAGACCCUCACGGCCUUCCCACACUUUGUCCUCACUUGCAACAGGGGCUUCGGGUGGGCCUCCCGUUUCUAAAGCACCCACUAUGGAUGCACAGCCGGACAAACUCAAGUCCCAAGACUGCCUGGGCCUAGUGGCCGCCCUAGCAUCUGCUACAGAGGUCUCCUCUACAGCUCCCAUGUCUGGGAAGAAGCACAGACCACCAGGACCCCUGUUCUCCUCCUCAGAUCCCCUUCCUGCCACCUCUUCCCACUCCCAGGACUCAGCCCAGGUCACCUCGAUGAUUCCUGCCCCCUUCACAGCUGCAAGCAGGGAUGCCAGCAUGAGAAGAACAAGGCCUGGCACCUCGGCUCCUGCAGCUGCCGCAGCAGCCCCUCCCCCCUCCACAUUGAACCCCACGUCGGGGUCACUACUCAAUGCAGUGGAUGAAGGCCCCUCACAUUUCUUGGCCUCAGCCACAGCUGCAGCACGUGCCCGGAGGUCACAAGUGAGAUAUAACCAGAGAUCCCAGACCUCCCGGACCAGAUCCUGCCUCAAACGAAAUGCCAGCUCCAGCUCCCACAGCUCUACGGAAGGCCUCCAGGAACUAAAGCGGAGGAGGGGGCCAGCCUCAUCCCACUGCCAGCUGGCCCUCAGUUCCUCAAACACAGUGAGUGAGGACGGACCUCAGGCUGUCUCUUCGCGUGACACCCGCUGUGAAAAGGCAGAUACAGCACCAGGGCAGACACUCGCCCCCAGGGGUGGCUCCCCCAGAUCCCAGGCCUCUAGGCCCCGCAUCAACAGUGCACUGCACGUUGAGGACAAGGCCAUCUCGGACUGCAGACCCUCACGGCCUUCCCACACUUUGUCCUCACUUGCAACAGGGGCUUCGGGUGGGCCUCCCGUUUCUAAAGCACCCACUAUGGAUGCACAGCAGGACAGACCCAAGUCCCAAGACUGCCUGGGCCUAGUGGCCCCCCUAGCAUCUGCUGCAGAGGUCUCCUCUACAGCUCCCGUGUCUGGGAAGAAGCACAGACCACCAGGACCCCUGUUCUCCUCCUCAGAUCCCCUUCCGGCCACCUCUUCCCACUCCGGGGACUCAGCCCAGGACACCUCGCUGAUUCCUGCCCCCUUCACACCUGCAAGCAGGGAUGCCGGCGUGAGAAGAAUGUUUUGUGUUCGAAAUUGUUUGAGGGGUUUGGGUUUAUUUUUGUUGGUUUUUUCUCUUUUUUUUUUGCUUACAUGGGCAUCCUUCAGCUUUUAAUAAUCUGAAAAACUCUAUUUACCCAUUGUCAAUGUGUAUAAAUUAAUCUGAGUCAAUUUUAUACAAUAAAAGGUGAACUUUUAUGCAUGAAACAAUAAUUUAACAAAAAAUGUACCUGAAGAAGAAUGUUCAUUACAAAUAUAGGAAACAUAAAUAUUACCAAAUAUUGGCAAGCACUAAAAUGUUCAGAAAUAUAAGUCUAUUACAGUUAUAGCUCUCUCAAGCAAAAAAACAGCAGAGAAAAACUUAGUUUACCUUAGGGGCUAUUUAUUUACUUAGGGAUUUGUUAAAAGGUCGAAUGGGGUCACACAGAAUACUAAGAAGAGCUGUUCACCCAGGCCUCACUAAGAACUCUUCUUCAUUCAGUAGCUGUAUAGUAACAUGACAACUGCUCCUACGACCCAAAGAGGAACUACAGCAACUACUCUUUAGCAUCUGUUGCUCCCAACUCUGCUUUGCAAUUAUAUGACUCAAGCAUUCUGGCUCCGUUAACUAUUACUGCUGUUACUCCCAAUUAAAUUCCCUCUAAAAAAUAAAAAUUUUUAAAGCUC